Cebus imitator (Panamanian white-faced capuchin) is the source of this 686-nucleotide long non-coding RNA. RefSeq lists it as uncharacterized. NCBI's taxonomy places the organism in Eukaryota, Metazoa, Chordata, Mammalia, Primates, Cebidae. The transcript is spliced from 3 exons. The record is from RefSeq and is a predicted model, not a curated record.
CUAAGGAAGAUUUCUCAAGGGGUGUGGGUUGACAUGCUUCCUGGGGUGAUGCGUAAGCAAUCAAUAAUGACAUUCAUUUGUCGAAGAGUUUUCCUUUUACCAAAGGAUUGCAUUUGCAUUUCCCAGUUUAUCCUCCCCGUAGUGCCAUGAAGUGUGUACAAUCGUCCCCAUUUUACGAGGAGACUGAGGCUUGGAGAAGAGGAUCUUUUGACUUUGCUAAUUUCUGGGUAUCAUGUGGAGCCUUCCAUGAAAGAGUCAAAUAUUUGGGAAGCCAGACAUCAAAGGGAGGAAAUGCAGAUGGAUUUUUCUCCCAGAACAUCCCUGGGAAUCAUUUCUGUCAGACGCUUCACUGGAUGUCCCUUGGUCUUUACAUUCAUUUAUCCUUCCACAACCCCCACCUCGAAUUGCAAUUUGCUGUUUUAAUUAUAGUUUCUUUUGCCACACUUGGGUUUUUUUUUUUUUUUUUCCCUCUUCUCAGUCUUCUACCUCCCUUAGAUUUUAAUCCCUUCUUCCAGUGCAGAAAAUUCAUUAAGAUUUCUAGAUUUCCUCCAAAUUUGCUUCCUUGGUGUUGAAUAAUUCUUAGUCUACGCGUGAUGCUGACUGUUGGGAUGCUGAGUUAAGGGGCUGAGCAGUGGGGCCAGUAGGUCUUGUUCAAGUGUACACUGAAUUCCCACUCUGGAAUUGGG